CCUACGGGUGGCAGCAGUGGGGAAUAUUGCACAAUGGGGGAAACCCUGAUGCAGCAACGCCGCGUGAGUGAAGAAGUUUUUCGUUAUGUAAACCUCUAUCGGCAGGGAAGAAAAUGACGGUAUCUGACUAAUAAGCACCGGCUAACUACGUGCCAGCAGCCGCGGUAAUACGUAGGGUGCAAGCGUUAUCCGGAUUUACUGGGUGUAAAGGGAGCGUAGACGGAAUUGCAAGUCCGGAGUGAAAGGCGGUGGCUGAACCCUAGGACUGCUUUGGAAACUGUUCGGCUGGAGUGCAGGAGAGGUAAGUGGAAUUCCUGGUGUAGCGGUGAAAUGCGUAGAGAUUAGGAGGAACACUAGUGGCGAAGGCGGGUUACUGGACUGUAACUGACGUGGAGGCUCGAAAGCGAGGGGAGCAAAAAGGAUUAGAUACCCCAGUAGUC
RNAcentral lists this ribosomal RNA (440 nucleotides) under uncultured bacterium. RNAcentral's name for it is "partial 16S ribosomal RNA". It matches the Rfam family "Bacterial small subunit ribosomal RNA", at positions 338 to 795 of the family's 1533-position model. The record is from RNAcentral.